CAACAGGGAUACCUCAGUAACGGCGAGUGAAGCGGUAACAGCUCAAAUUUGAAAUCUGGCUCUUUCAGGGUCCGAGUUGUAAUUUGUAGAAGAUGCUUUGGGCAUUGCUCCGGUCUAAGUUCCUUGGAACAGGACGUCAUAGAGGGUGAGAAUCCCGUAUGUGACUGGUGGCAUUUGUCCGUGUAAAGCUCUUUCGACGAGUCGAGUUGUUUGGGAAUGCAGCUCAAAAUGGGUGGUAUAUUUCAUCUAAAGCUAAAUAUUGGCCAGAGACCGAUAGCGCACAAGUAGAGUGAUCGAAAGAUGAAAAGCACUUUGGAAAGAGAGUUAAACAGUACGUGAAAUUGUUGAAAGGGAAGCGCUUGCAACCAGACUUGCAGGUCGUUGAUCAUCCGGGGUUCUCCCCGGUGCACUCGGCGGCUUUCAGGCCAGCAUCGGUUUGAGUGGUGGGAUAAAGGCCUUGGGAAUGUGGCUCCUUUCGGGGAGUGUUAUAGCCCAAGGUGCAAUGCCGCCUAUUCGGACCGAGGACCGCGCUUCGGCUAGGAUGCUGGCGUAAUGGUUGUAAGCGACCCGUCUUGAAACACGGACCAAGGAGUCUAACAUCUAUGCGAGUGUUUGGGUGUCAAACCCAUACGCGUAAUUAACGUGAACGGAGGUAAGAACCCUUAAGGGUGCAUUAUCGACCGAUCCUGAUGUCUUCGGAUGGAUUUGAGUAAGAGCAUAGCUGUUGGGACCCGAAAGAUGGUGAACUAUGCCUGAAUAGGGUGAAGCCAGAGGAAACUCUGGUGGAGGCUCGCAGCGGUUCUGACGUGCAAAUCGAUCGUCAAAUUUGGGUAUAGGGGCGAAAGACUAAUCGAACCAUCUAGUAGCUGGUUCCUGCCGAAGUUCCCC
This 888-nucleotide ribosomal RNA is filed under the name Natara antarctica. Its description in RNAcentral is "eukaryotic LSU rRNA". It matches the Rfam family "Eukaryotic large subunit ribosomal RNA", at positions 66 to 972 of the family's 3401-position model. Lineage: Eukaryota; Fungi; Ascomycota; Leotiomycetes; Helotiales. The record is from RNAcentral.